RNAcentral lists this ribosomal RNA (371 nucleotides) under uncultured Desulfobulbus sp. RNAcentral's name for it is "bacterial SSU rRNA". It matches the Rfam family "Bacterial small subunit ribosomal RNA", at positions 1014 to 1382 of the family's 1533-position model. The record is from RNAcentral. Lineage: Bacteria; Pseudomonadati; Thermodesulfobacteriota; Desulfobulbia; Desulfobulbales; Desulfobulbaceae.
CUUCCAUCUGGAAGAAUCUGGAGACAGGUGCUGCAUGGCUGUCGUCAGCUCGUGUCGUGAGAUGUUGGGUUAAGUCCCGCAACGAGCGCAACCCUGCCUUUAGUUGCCAGCAGUUCGGCUGGGCACUCUAAAGGGACUGCCGGUGUUAAACCGGAGGAAGGUGGGGAUGACGUCAAGUCCUCAUGGCCUUUAUGACCAGGGCUACACACGUACUACAAUGGCCGAUACAAAGGGCAGCGACACUGCGAGGUGAAGCCAAUCCCGUAAAAAUCGGUCUCAGUCCGGAUUGGAGUCUGCAACUCGACUCCAUGAAGUUGGAAUCGCUAGUAAUCGUGGAUCAGCAUGCCACGGUGAAUACGUUCCCGGGCCUU